Molecule: long non-coding RNA, 222 nt
Filed under: Chinchilla lanigera (long-tailed chinchilla)
Lineage: Eukaryota; Metazoa; Chordata; Mammalia; Rodentia; Chinchillidae
Description: lncRNA (ENSCLAG00000022349.1)
Source: RNAcentral
AUGACAAAUGAGUUGUAUCACCCAGUUGUCACCAGUGGCCACCAUCUAGAUAAAACUCCAUUUUGCCUUCAUGCCAGGCAAUCAAUCAGGCCGAAGCUUUGGUGCAGUGUAUUCUCCUAUAGCCUGUACCCAGGACACUGGAAUCAGCUGUACGGAUGUGUGUGUGUGAAGCUCGUGAGCAUUAGGCGUGGGGUCACCAGAAGAAAGGACCCUGAGCUAUGA